GGCAAGAUGGCCGAAUGGUUAAGGCGUGUGACUCAAGUUCACAUCCGUAAGGGUUCUGGGUUCGAGUCCCAGUCUUGUCA
This 80-nucleotide transfer RNA is filed under the name Grosmannia clavigera kw1407. RNAcentral describes it as "tRNA-Leu (CAA) (tRNA-Leu-CAA-1-1, tRNA-Leu-CAA-1-2)". It matches the Rfam family "tRNA". Rfam says of the family: Transfer RNA (tRNA) molecules are approximately 80 nucleotides in length. Their secondary structure includes four short double-helical elements and three loops (D, anti-codon, and T loops). Further hydrogen bonds mediate the characteristic L-shaped molecular structure. tRNAs have two regions of fundamental functional importance: the anti-codon, which is responsible for specific mRNA codon recognition, and the 3' end, to which the tRNAs corresponding amino acid is attached (by aminoacyl-tRNA synthetases). tRNAs cope with the degeneracy of the genetic code in two manners: having more than one tRNA (with a specific anti-codon) for a particular amino acid; and 'wobble' base-pairing, i.e. permitting non-standard base-pairing at the 3rd anti-codon position. Lineage: Eukaryota; Fungi; Ascomycota; Sordariomycetes; Ophiostomatales; Ophiostomataceae. The record is from RNAcentral.